This 1470-nucleotide ribosomal RNA is filed under the name Triticum aestivum (bread wheat). RNAcentral's name for it is "partial small subunit ribosomal RNA". The record is from RNAcentral. Lineage: Eukaryota; Viridiplantae; Streptophyta; Magnoliopsida; Poales; Poaceae.
CACGCACCGCUCGUGAGCAACCUUAUCCCCUCCGAUUUCUUUCUCAUUCUCUCGUUCUCUCCUUUCUCUUCCAGAGUAUGCCUGGGCAGGCCCUUUCCUUCCCCUGCUCCAGAUCAGCGAGCGGCCAUGGCCGGCUCCUACCCCCGCCAAGGCAAAUCGCGGGGAAGGGCCACCACGCGCCAUGUCCUUCCACCCACUUGAGAGGAAACCAUGGCAGGGUGCUCCAUGCUCGCACAGAUCUCCCGAGGAAGGAGGAGACGAUGCAGCGGGGGAGCUGUAGGUGUCGUGCACCGACGGUGCUGCGACAGGGGAAGGGUACACACGCCGGUGAUGGCGUACCCCCGCGCGCAACUGGCGAGUGGUGGAGAUGGUCCCCGGCUACGGUGGAGUUGCAAGCGGCAAGGGGCAAAGCUGCAACCGGCAAGCGGCGGAGCUGGAACCGGCCUGAGAAGGAGCUGGAAACAUUGAUUUUUUUUGCUGGAAGGUACGGCGUGGGACUGAGCUUCAACGCCCAUUUUUUUGCUGGAAGCAGGGAUUUAUUUUGUUGGAAGCAGCAUUUUCUUUUGCUGGAACACUUCUUUCAAAACUGCGAACAACUUUUUUUUCUGGAAGCAGUGAUUUUUUGUUUUGUUUGAAGCAACAAUUUGUUUUGCUCGAACUAGGCUCUUCAGAGCUACGAUGAUGGAACAACACACUUUUUUGCUGGAAGCGGUGUUUCUUUUUGCUGGAAGCGUCACUUUGGAUUGCUACUGUCGAUGCAUCACGACGAGCGGCAGAGCUUCAUAUCUGCAAUGGGGACAAGAGAAAAGCUACGACAGUUGAGGGAAAAAGCUACAACCAGUGUUUUUUUGCUGUCACCGAUGUGUGGUUUUCUUUCACUGGGACGUACGACCUGUGGUGGCGGACGGCCAGCGCCGGCAGCACGGUGAUGCCUCGAGGUUGCAACCAUUGUUGUUUUUGCUACUACGGUGUUCACGAAUUGAUACAUCCGUUGUCUGUUUUUGCUACUACCAUCAAUGCACAGUCAACAGAUUUUUUUCUUACGUUUGACCGCGACGAAGUGUGGGGGAGAGAUUCGACGGCGAGCGUCGGGGGCCAGUGCAGCGACCCGCCGCGACGGGCGAGCGCGCGAGGGUGGGUGCUUCGAGGUCGGUUGUGUGCUCGUUCAUGAAGAGUCCGAGUAGGAAGAACGAGCAGGGGGGAGAAACAAGAUCGUGCGGCUACAAAGCACUUUUAUCGUGCGGUCCUGGUGUGACCGGCCCAAAGUUGCGCCGGCGCGCCGGCGCCUAUUAGCUCCCUUUAGUAUAUUAGAGAUGGGUCUCCUUCCUGCAAUUUAAUUAAUUGCUCCGUUGAAAGUGAAUUUCCACCUCAGUCUUUGCAUGCAUUGAGCUAGCUCACCAGAGUGACGGUUUUCGGUCGGCCAUCGUCGACGAAACUGUCGAAACAAUUAUUGCCGCAGUUGCAAAGCUG